This 2069-nucleotide long non-coding RNA is filed under the name Nicotiana tabacum (common tobacco). Its description in RNAcentral is "long non-coding RNA (NTAB_LNC018220)". The record is from RNAcentral. Lineage: Eukaryota; Viridiplantae; Streptophyta; Magnoliopsida; Solanales; Solanaceae.
AACCCUUCAUUCACAGCAGUAAAUCAACUUCAGAUUACAAGGUUUGAACUUCAUUUCACAACAUAUUAAAUAAUAAACUGAUUUAUGCUAAAAAUUUAAACUAACUAACAGGCAAACCAAAUCAUCUUCCGUACGAGUUUAUGAUCAUAACACAGGACGACUUAUUUUUGGGCAAAACCAUACAUCCCGAUGCUUUAAAAUACAGACUGCAUAUCACUCAGUUUGUCUCCAACUUAUACUUACCCUAAUGACUAUUUCAACACAAAAUCAUCACCAAACAAGAACACCUAUUUCAACAAAAAUUAAAACUCAAAUGCUCGAAUAAGUCUGUUGUUGCAGCCCCCUAACAGUCCCAUAAUACCAUACAAUGAUAAGGACUAAGCUAUUAAAACACAGAAUAAAAAAAGAAAAAUACAGUUGAAACACGAAUAACUGAUACUACGCUUUUAAAAUUUUCUGCUUUUCAUUUUUUCAUUCCUCAUAUCCAACUUCACAAUCAAUAGGGCUUAAAUGUGUACCUGAAAGUUGAAAUAGAAACAAAAGGGUGAGGAAUCAGCCAAGCAGCAACAACAAAGUGCCCAGAUCCACACAACCAAAUAGUGAAAUCGAUUCAGAAAAACCAAUAGAGCAGUAAACCAAAUAACAAGCUUCAAACCAAGCCUUUGAAAACUAAAUUCAACCCAUUUCAAGCCUCAGACGAGUCAAAAUUUAUUUCAGAAAUUGAAAACUUCAAAAUCACAGAAGAAAGUUCAAUGAAACAGUCAUUUUGUGUUGAAAAUUUUAGCCGUUUCUAUUUUUCUGGAUUUUUAUCUCUUCAAGUCCGAUCCCUAAAGAAUUCAGCUAAUGGAGCUUUUAUACAAGGGAAUUAGGGCAGCCAAAGAAUUUUUAGAGUUUGCUCUUUUACCCUUUUAAUAUUUUCAUUCUAGCUUAGAGGACCUUAGUCUAAAAAUCAGAAAAUCAAAUUGGUCCCCACCCCAAUUUCCUAGAAGUUUCCUUAGGCUGUUACAAAGAUUCCUAUUCCUAAAAUACCCAAGUUACCCUCUAAUCCUUCAUUAUUUACCCCAUGCAAAACCAAUAUGGGUCCAAAUAAACUGCAUCCAGGCCUAAACCUUGUGUUGGCUACCAGAGUUUCCCCUUCCCCACUUUGGGCUUCCUCUUUACAAAGCUCAAACGUAAUUAAGGAAAAACCAGCGCAAUUUUAUAAAACAUCAAUAAAAUGACAAAAAUUACAACACCACUAAAGCUAUGAACAACGAAACUUUUAAAACAAACAGAAAAAGGAAAAGGAAUAAACGGAAAAGAAAAGAAUUCAGCAUGAACAAAUAAUGAUUUUACUAAACUAUCGAUGCUGAUUUAUCAUACAAGAAUUAAUGCUUGAAACCAAACUAAGAUAACGAACAACGAAAGAAGAAAAGACUGAAAAUUACAGUAAAGAGGGGAAAGAUGUACCAGGCUCUAACAGAGGAUUGACGAGAGGAUUGACGAUUCAGAGAAAUCAAUGGCUAAAGAGGAUCCGGUAAAUGGCGAGAAUUGUAACAUGAGAAUUAACCGAAAUUUCUUCGACGACUAAUGCUCCAUAUCACAAUCCUCGACACCUACUCUGAAAUGAGAUGAACUAGAAACUUGGAACACAGAUUGCUUGACCAAAAACUGUCUGCCAUGACGGGCCUUGAAAUUGACUAAAUAACCAGCUAAUCCCACGUGAUAAUACCAAAAGAAGCAAAUAAAGUAGAAACACAAAGGAAAUCAGAGAAGAUGGAGCAACCGGAUUUUCUGCCUUCCGAGAUUUGAAAUUCACGAGAAUCGGGUGACUUUUGGAGAAACCCAGUGGUGGAUUUGGAAUGGAGAGGCAACAAGGGUUAUCUGGUCAUGUUUCGAGGGGGGUUGGAGAUCAACCGCCGCCGCUGGCGAUUUCCGGUGGUGGCGGACGGUGGUGAGAGAUGAGAAUGACAGAGACGAUAUAAUGAGGGGUCUUAGGUUAUGGUUUGGUCGUUUGGACAAUUUUAUGUGAAAUGGGGGAAGUGUCUAUAGCCGUUAGAUGAAAUGAAAUAGAGGGCCUGGAUCGACUC